UGGGUAUUGUUCUUGACGCUCAUCAUGAGCAGGGACAGGGGCCCGGUGCUGAACUCCUCCUCCUCCUUCUUCACCUGCCGCCGCAAACAGAACCAUGUCAGUCACUAGUUAGGCAUCCGUACACAAGAGCUAGCAGAGGCGUGAAGGCCUGCCCCCCAGAGAUAAAAGUAAGAUGAAAUUUCUGUUGCAAGAUGCUUACAUUGGCAGCUGCUUCUUCCGCCAUCGGCGCGAAUCGAAGCCGGUGACCUGCGGAAGGGAAACAAACCAAAUCAGCAGCAACCCUAACUCUCUCUUGGCGAUACCCGCACAGCAAGAGCCCGGGGUGACCGGGCGAACUGUGGCAGCCCCCUCGUCUAGAACAGGUAAACUGCCCGCGGGGGAGGGGGAGGGGGAGGAGGAACCCUAGAUUUCAGCGGCUACUCGGGGGCGGCCCGUCACA
RNAcentral lists this long non-coding RNA (439 nucleotides) under Hordeum vulgare. Its description in RNAcentral is "long non-coding RNA (HVUL_LNC008328)". Lineage: Eukaryota; Viridiplantae; Streptophyta; Magnoliopsida; Poales; Poaceae. The record is from RNAcentral.